AUUGAACGCUGGCGGCAUGCCUAACACAUGCAAGUCGAACGGCAGCACGGCAGUAGCAAUACUGUGGGUGGCGAGUGGCGGACGGGUGAGGAAUACGUCGGAAUCUGCCCAGUCGUGGGGGAUAACUAGCCGAAAGGUUAGCUAAUACCGCAUAUGACCGAGAGGUGAAAGCGGGGGACCGCAAGGCCUCGCGCGAUUGGAUGAGCCGACGUCGGAUUAGCUAGUUGGUGGGGUAAAGGCCCACCAAGGCGGCGAUCCGUAGCUGGUCUGAGAGGAUGAUCAGCCACACUGGAACUGAGACACGGUCCAGACUCCUACGGGAGGCAGCAGUGGGGAAUAUUGGACAAUGGGCGCAAGCCUGAUCCAGCAAUGCCGCGUGUGUGAAGAAGGCCUCGG
This 396-nucleotide ribosomal RNA is filed under the name uncultured bacterium. RNAcentral describes it as "bacterial SSU rRNA". It matches the Rfam family "Bacterial small subunit ribosomal RNA", at positions 29 to 420 of the family's 1533-position model. The record is from RNAcentral.